GUAGGCGGCAAGCGUUGUCCGGAAUUAAUGGGCGUAAAGCGCGCGCAGGCGGUUCUUUAAGUCUGAUGUGAAAGCCCACGGCUCAACCGUGGAGGGUCAUUGGAAACUGGAGAACUUGAGUACAGAAGAGGAAAGCGGAAUUCCACGUGUAGCGGUGAAAUGCGUAGAGAUGUGGAGGAACACCAGUGGCGAAGGCGGCUUUCUGGUCUGUAACUGACGCUGAGGCGCGGAAGCGUGGGGAGCAAACAGGAUUAGAUACCCUGGUAGUCCACGCCGUAAACGAUGAGUGCUAAGUGUUAGGGGGUUUCCGCCCCCCUUAGUGCUGCAGCUAACGCAUUAAGCACUCCGCCUGGGAGUACGGCCGCAAGGCUG
This 372-nucleotide ribosomal RNA is filed under the name uncultured organism. RNAcentral's name for it is "partial 16S ribosomal RNA". It matches the Rfam family "Bacterial small subunit ribosomal RNA", at positions 527 to 896 of the family's 1533-position model. The record is from RNAcentral.